Molecule: long non-coding RNA, 2680 nt
Organism: Anas platyrhynchos (mallard)
Lineage: Eukaryota; Metazoa; Chordata; Aves; Anseriformes; Anatidae
Source: RefSeq, a predicted model, not a curated record
CAACCUCCCCCCAUAAGACUCAUAUCAGAGAGAGUAUUCUUGGAGAUGUCUGUUUGUCCAUUUCUACUGAAAUAGUCCUUAAGGUUAUUAAGAGCCAAGAAACUAUUAAUCCUAAUUGAUUAUCUUAGAAUAAAACAUGACUGUGCAAGACCUACAUUAUACAGCACAUCAGUAAUUCUAGCACAUUAUUCUUAUUGUCACUGCCCAUACUCAAUAACAAAUAAUCAUUUGCUAAUCUUUGUAUAAAUGAACUUUUAACAUGAGUUGCAUGGUCUAAAGCAAAAAGCGCUGGAGUGGAAUUCAGAGGCAUGACUCAACUUCCUACUGUGACGCAGAUUUCUCAUGUGGUAGCAAAGAGUCACGAACUGCUGGUUUAUCAAGGGAAUGAAUGCAUUACAGCUUUCAGUUUUUAUGCAGAGCUGCACAGCAGAAUUUUAACAUCCAAAUGAGAUUCAAGGAAUGGUUGAAGUUGGAAGAGACCCCUGGGGGGGACCUAGUCCAACCCAGAAACCUAAAGCAGCUGCCCAAGACCACGUCCAGGUGGCUUUUGAAGAUCUCCAGGGAGGGAGACUCCACAACCACUCUGGGCAAACUGUGCCAGUACUAUGUCACUCACACAGUAAAGAAGUGCUUCCUGAGGUUCAGAUGACACCUCCCGUGUUUGAGUGUGUGGCUAUUGCCUUUGUCCUGGCGCUGGACACCACUAAAAAGAGAGUAGUUCCAUCCUCUUUGCACCCUCUCUUUAGGUGACACACUCCAGAUUCUUCAUCAUCUUUGUGACUCUCCAUGUCCAUCAAUACGGACUAUGCUGCUAUCAACGUCUAGUGAUUAAGACCAUGCAGAAGAUCCAUGCAGACUUUCAUAUCUGGUUUCUUCAUAUUAAAGUGGGUUUCUUGAUUUCUUAGCUUCUUUAUAAUCUUUUGCUCAUCAAAGUAAUACUAAAGUGUCUGAUCUCAUAAGAUCUGAAUACUUGAAAGAAAUAUCUGACUUCCUCUGCCACUUUUUUAAAGGAUUUUGGUAGAAUUCAGAUAAUUUCUUAAGAAGGAAUUUCAGAUAAUUUCCUCUCAAAAUAAGAAGUAUGUAGGCAGCUCUACAGUAUGCUAAAAGCCAGUGUCCAGUGUUGCUCCAGACUUUUCUGAUGUAGUGUAAGGCUAAUAACUAUGACUGUGUUAUCACUAAAACACACACGUCUUGAUACUUCCAGCUUUUUAAAUCUCAGAAUCAACAUUUUUACAUAAAAGCAUGAAGUAGUAAUUCACAAAAUAUGAAGAAGUAAUUCACAAAGUAUGGAAUAGGGAAACUGUAGUUGUUUCUAAAUGUAAAAUUCUUGUUAUUAUUGCAAAUCAGUUACUUUUGCUAUAUUGCUUUUGAUACAGAAAGUACUGAAAUGUAAGGUUAGACGUCCUCUAAUAUCAGUGCUCACUUAAAAGUCUUUAUUUAAAUAUUCAAUAAAUAGAGUUUUCACCCAAUAUAUGCUUCUUUCUUUACAUCUUAAGAUGGCUGAAAUUCUCUCCCUGUUUACAAGUGGGGAAACAGAGUCAUAGGCAGAUGAAAUGUCUUGCCCAUCAUGUGUGAAUGGACUCUGUAGAUCCUCAUUUUCAUUACGAAAAGCACAAAUUAUUCAACCUUAAACAAUUUAUUUCUCUCCUAAGAGAACAAAAUGUUCUCAGCAAAGAUAGCAAAUAAAUUUCCCAUAGGCAAAGAAAAUUAUGUAUAGCUACUUUCAGGAUCUUCUUCUAUUGCUGGGUGUGUUUUUUGUUGUUGUUUUUGAUGUAUUUAUUUAUUUUUCUUUCCCAUACUUUCUGCAUGUUAUUCAUCUAUUUUGUGGCUGAUGGCAACAUUUCCAUACAGACCUUUCCACAGAAAACAUGGUGGCUGUGAGUGGAUUUCUGCAUGAGAAAUCCAGUACCCACCACUUAAAAGAAAAUGAGCAUAUCACCUGAGCAACAUGCAAGCUUAGAGACCCACUGCAGAAAGGUCAUCCAAAAUCUGCUGUUUACUGUUACUGUUGGAUCAACACUCUUCUGCCUUUGAUUUUUAUCCCUAGUACUCCUGGCACAUGAAGAGACUUGCUGCCACUGAAAUUGCUAUUCCCAAUCCAUAUGGUGGUAGGAGGAAUUGAGCAGUGGUUCUUUUAUGUAGUAAGCUUUAGAUAAUGGUCACUAGCAUGCAGAGCAACAUGCCAAUUGCUGGUGUUACGUCUGGUUGACGUUUCAGACCCAACUUUGUACCUUUCUAAUCAUUAAUCAACAAUCAGACAAAGAAUAUAUUGCUGAAUCCAGACAGCAGCCAAUACAGAACUCUAAUACAUUAUAGAUUCUCUGUCAGCACAUUUAUUUAUUGUUUGCAGUGUUCUGUUUAAAAAUCCCUAUGCUCUUUCAUUUUAUUAUUUAUUUAUGUGUUUAUUUAUUUAUUUCUCUUUAGCUGGAUUUAACAAAGCAGUGAAUCUCCAUUUAUUAACAUCUCCUACAAAUGCUGAAUGGUGAAUUAUGUUGUAUAAAAUACAAUUAUAGUAUUAUUCUUGGUAUUUACUACUACUUACUAAAAUCUUUAGCAAAUAUACCAUUAAAUGAAAGAAUUAAAUUGCCUAGGUAGAGCCAGAGUACUUUUUUGUCCUCAGGUAAAUAUCCAGUAGAUCAUUUUAUUGUUAUUUAACAUUAUAUUAAAGGUUGGUGAUCAG